GGUGGUGGUGGUGGUAGAGUUGGUGGUGGUGGUUGGUUUGAGUUUGAAAUGUGGUCUCUUUGUGUAGCCUAGGCUGGCUUUGAAUUACCAGUCGUCCUACCUUUAGUGCUGAGAUUACUCGUGUGUGCCCUCACAUUGAGCUGUUUGUUUCACAGGACAAAUAGUCAGAAGCACUACAGUUCGCUGGUAGGGAACCCGUAGACAGUAAGGCACUGCCAGGCCCUGUGGAUUAGACCACACUGGGAGCUGCAUUUACCUACAUGCAUAGUGAUACCCAUCUUGCCUCAGCCUGACCUGGGCCAGUGCUGUAUCAUGGGUUCUGUCCCAUUGGAAACGAGCUGGGGUAGAAGCUGGGUUUUUCUUCCCAGUGUCUCUCAAGAUCUUGGUGUCAGUUCAAAGUCCAAGCCAUUCUUUUUUUUUCCCCCACUCAUGACACAGAUUUUUAUUUAUAUAAACUUCACUCUGUGCUGGGCUAAGGAAAUGAUCUAAUGACCCAGAAUCUUCCCAGAUCCAGGGCCAGAGGGGUGGCAGGGCACCCUAGCCCCAUCCCUGCAGGACUGAUGAUAAAAUCCAAGGACUGGGGCUUCCCCAUCCUCCAACGUUCUUACCCCCCACCCCAAGCUGUGAGUUAAUUAUUUUAUACCCCCCCAAGGAAUUCCUGGCACCUCAGCUUCAGUUAGCAGGGGGGAUGGGGGCGGGACAAGGAGGCUGCCCCACCUUUGCGUAUCUGUGAGGAUGAUAAACUGACUUCACAAGGUUUCUCUCACUUAAGGAAUGGUAGGCAUGAGUCGCUCACCCCCAGAUCCCCUCUAAGCCGGUGGUCUGUGGGGUUCAGGAACCGGCCAGCUCAUCUUGAGCAUCAGUUUAGACCUCGGAAAGCACAGCCUCCCUCAGGAGUGCACCUACCUUCCAGUCCGGAGUCCCUUCUCCUCCUUCUCUCUGAAUUUUUCUCCUCAUCCUUCUCAUCUUCCACCUUCAUUUUGAUUGUUUAAAGAUUUACUUUUAUUUUUAAAUUAUGUGUAGGCAUGUGUCUGUGUGAGGUGUUUACAGUAGCUGCUGGUGCUCUCAGAAGCCACGGUGUCCCCUACACCUGAAGUUACAGACAAUUGUGUUUCAUGGUAUAGGUGCUGGGAACUGAACUCAGAAGAAAACCUCUGUGACCUAAAACCAAGGGUCUCAGAAACAACGCUUAGGUACUGUAGACAAACUAUGAAAAAAUAAAGAUGUCUAUGGCAGUCUUGAAGUGUAGCCUACACUAGGAGCCAAUCUUUGGAGGUGUGUGUGUGUGUGUGUGUGUGUGUGUGUGUGUGUGUGUGCAUGUGUGUGUGCAUGUGUGUGUGUGUGUUUAGAUAUACAUACACACACCACACAUUUACACACAUAUGUAUGAGUAUAUACACGUACAUAAACACUUUAAUUGUAUCUCAUUUUUGUGUAUGAGUGUUUACCCUACACAUGUCUCCAUACUAUGUGUUUGCAAUGUCCAUAGAGGCCAAAAGAGGGCGCCAAUUCCCCGAGAAUGGAGUUGAAAAGCAUUGUGAUUUGUCAGGUGGGUGGCUGCUGAGCCAUCUCUCCACUCCCAGAGGUAAACAGGUGAUAUAAGCUUAGUUGGCUGUUUGGAUAGUACUCUUAGGAGGAGGCCAGAGACAUGUUGGCUAGCUUUCUUCAAGGUUAUUUAGUCAGCUGUUGACUAAUUUUGAUACAUUCUGGUACAGUGUCUUAAACUAACAUUAAAUACUACUUCAGACAAAGAAAGUGUGGGAUUGGAGAAGUGGUUAAGAACAUAAACUGCUCUCAAAGAGAACCCAGGCUUCUGGUACCCAUAUGGUGGUUCAAAUACUUUUGUAUCUCUAAUUGCAAGGGAUCUGACUGUCUUCUGGCCUUGGCAGGCACCAUGGACAUGGUGCACUUGCAUAUGUGCAGGUAAAACACUUUUAUACAUAAAAUAAAACAAUGAACCUUUUUUAAAAGAAAGCUUCUGUUUCGUUAAGGAAAGAAAUCAUUUGUGGAGGCACACACUUUAAUCCCGCACUCAGAAGGCAGGGGCCAGUGAAUCUCUGUGAGUUUAAGGCCAGCCUGGUCUGCAGAGUGCGUUCCAAUUCAGCUAAGGGUAUGAGAAGAGUGAGAAGGAGGGGUGAAUGCUAGGACGGGAGAUGGUUCUGGCACUGCAAUGAGAAUGAGACUAGUACAUUUUUUAAACUUUCCUGAUUUAUCUUUAAAAUCUCUUACAAGUGGCUUGGAUAAUAUACUUUAGACCAGUGGUCAUUUGGUCCCCAGUUUUGCAGUCUCUGGCUGUGGGAACCUGUCAAAGUGCUGUAGUAUCCAUUUGAGCAGCUGAAGGGCCCUAGCUCAUUCCAAAUCCCGGAUCUGACUUUCAGUCACGUGUGUCUGUCAUUUAGCCAAAUAUUUCAGUGAGCCGACCAAUCACGGGGAGUAUAGCCCAAAACUUUACCUGAAAGAGGCCACUGGAGGGAGGCCACCAGUUUCUGAGGGAGAAGCUCAGCUCCACCAAGUCACUGCUCAGUCAAAAUCCUGGUCAGGCGGAGGGUGGCUGCUAACAGAUACUAUGUUUCCUUAAGCUAAGAUAGGUCAACAAACCAUGAUGGUUUUGUUUCAGGAAAAAAAAAGUUUUGCUCAUGUUCAAGGAGCACUAAUUGUAAACUUGAAAAGCCUAGGACGGUGGAGCGAGUCGCUAGUUUGGUUGUUUGGCUAUCCUCCUCACUUGAUGAUUUCCGGGCUUUUACGGGUGCAAUGAGAAUUGUCCUUUCCAGUGAGCUGAUACUGUACUCCAGAGGAUGCAGGAAAGAAACUGCCCAAACCAGAGCUCCGUAGUGUGGUUAAGGGAAGGGUUUUUACUGUAGUUAAAAGGAAGAAAAUAUUCAGAGGUGUCUAGAAGAGUCCAGAGCAGAGAGGGGAAGAAGUGGACCCAACGUGGCCCAGGCUGUCUGUGAAAGGAAAAGCAGCUGGAGAGGAAGAGUGAGGGAGUCCUGAGCAUAACUCUGUGUACCAGGCUGGGAAAGGUGUGUGACAGAGUGUAGGGAGCCUGGAGGUCAGCAAGGGCUUUUCUGGCAACCACAGGUAGCCAAAUGUCCCUUCUGUCGGCAGUAAAGGAAAGGAGGUCUUUUGGCAGAUGGGAACCAGUUUCACAAAUCUCUGAGAAACACUGGCUUCUAUUGAACAGAAAUUCUGCUCUAGCCAGUUUGAGCUCAUUGCUGGGUAUAUGGACUGCCUGAGAACCAACAGGUAUGUCAUAACAUAUUUGGAGAAAUAAGACAGCAUGUAUCUGAGGGUUUUCUUUCUCUCUCUUUCUUCCUUUCUUUCUUUCUUUCUUCCUUCCUUUCUUUCUUUCUUUCUUUCUUUCUUUCUUUCUUUCUUUCUUUCUAACAAGGAAGGGACAGGGUCUAAUUAUGUAGCCCUGGCUGACCUGGAACUCUAUGUAAACCAGGAUGUCCUAAAACUCAAAGAGAUCCUCCUACCUCUGCCUCCCAAGUGCUGCAAUUAAAGACACGCAUCAUCACGCCCAGCUCAUUUGAGUAUUUAAGUUAAAAUGUUAAAGCACUGGUGUCAGAAAUGGAGAUAAACACGAACAGUUUUCCCAAAGAACAAAUACAGCACUUAAAACAGACUGUUAAAAUUGUUCCUAAGGUCAUUUACUUAGAAAACACACAAAGAGAGUUGAUAAAUAUACGAUCAAUAUCUUUCUCUCUGGAUAGAGAGAGGGAAGGAGAGAGAGAGAGAGGUAAGGAGGGAGAGGGAGAGGUCUGCAUAUAUGCCUGUAUACUACUUGCCUGCCUGGUUCCCCAGGAGGACAGAGGUGGCCACUGGAACCUCUGAAACUGGAGUUGCAGAUAGUUGUAGUCCACUAUUUAGGUGCUGGGCAAGAGCACCAAGGCCUCUUAACCUUGAGCCUCCUCCUCAGCUCCCUCUUCCUCUUCCUUUUGUUUGGUUUUGAGAUAGGGCCCUGCUCUGUAGCCCAGGUUGAGCUGCAGUCUCAUGCCCUCCUCAAUCUUGAAUGUAAGCAGUGAACCAGAUUACCUUCUGAAUCAGUUAUAUUUACAUAGAUGUGGAAGAGAGUGAGGGAAGGCACGGUAGAUGUACGACGCAGUGGAACGGUCACACUGAAAACCAGACAAAGAAAGUGCCACCUUCUCACACUGGCUUCGCUGGUGCACUCUAGAGUGCUUCUCCGUGGUCCACGAGCCGACCCCAUCAUGGGAAAGUAGUUUCCCUGCUAUCAGCUACUGCCCCAAAGUGAAGCUUCUUCACAUACCUGGCUGGCUGGCUGGCUGGCUGGCUGGCUGGCGAAGGAAGGGACUGUCUACCCAGGGAGCAGAGCAUCAAAGAAACACAGGUCUUAAAAUGCAGGCUUCUUGCAUAACUGGAAGUCAGGAGGACCCAAGAGUUUACUGGACUCUCUUGGUCCAAAGAUUCAAGAUCAAAUGUGUAAUGGACCCAAGGUGUUUCUGGCAGUGUUCGCCUGUGCUACAUCUGUGGUCAUGUUUGCAUGUGUGCAAGCUGUGUGCUUUGCACUGUGGGAAGCAGAGACAUCCCUGGAUGCCAGUGGUCUGCCUGAAACACGAAGGCUUAGACUGGAGAUGAGCAGGGGCUAUGGAUUGAACUGCAGUAUUUCUCCUGUGAAUACCAAGCUAUCUGCUUCUAUGGAAGCAUUACCGUUUCCUACAGACUGCAGUCACUUCUCAGGAUGUAAUCAGCACAUUAUUGUACCUUUGACUUUUAUAGUGUCUAAAUAUUUGAUCUUAAAAGCUUCUGCUUGAGCUGCUGACAUGAGUGCCUUAAAUCCAUUCAUGAAUUGUUGUUUGAGACUAGGACAUAUUUUCCAACAAUUUCUGCAAUAGGCCGAAACUCAUUGCUAUCAUUUUGUACUGUGCAUUGUUGCAAGGCAACAUUCUCAGGAUCAACAGCUACAGAAUUAAAAUAUGAUCAACUUAGAGAAAUGUUGACAGUGCUGUAUAGGUGGAAUAUGAAAUACUCAACUUUGGGUUGGGGAUUUAGCUCAGUGGUAGAGCGCUUGCCUAGGAAGCGCAAGGCCCCAGCUCCGAAAAAAAGAACAAAAAAAAAAAAAAAAGAAAUACUCAGCUUUGAUUCAAUUCCUUAUGGAAAAGUAAGCAAACACAUUAUAAGGGAGCCUACUGGUUUUGUCUCUAAUUAGUGGCAAAAGUCUAUGUAUACCACAGCACUGCUGGAAGUAAAUAUCUUUAUGAUUUAUUAUUGGCGAAUGUCUACUUUACAUAACUGGUCUAUAUACCAUAUAUCUGGAUUUGGUAAAAUUUCACAGUCAAAUGGGGUUGGAGGUAAGAAAGUUCAAGAAGCCUCUGUUUAGAGUGGACAACAGAUAAAUUGAGGAAGUGUUACAUUUCUCCUCCUUUAUUUUAAGGUCAGUUUAGCUCAACUAAAAACAAAGGUCCAAGAGGCCCAUUGUUAAUAUAUGUGAAUAUACUGUUUUUUAUAACCCAUUCAUAAUCUAAAAAUUUACCUAUGUAUAAAAGUGCUUUGCCUCUAUGUGUGAAGGUGUACCACUUAUAUUCCUGGUGGCAGCAGGGGUCAGAUCCCAUAGAACUUCGGUUACAGAUGUUUGUGAGCCUGUGAGUGCUGGGACUGAAAGGGACCAAAGGCCUCUGCGAAAGCAGCAAGUGCUCUUAACCGCAGAGCCAACUCUCUCGUCCCAUACUGCCCUUUGACAAAAGACCCAGCAGCCUCGUUGUUGUAUAACGAUAUUCAUUAAGCUUGUAAGCUUGUCUAUACAGUGAUUCUUUCUGUGUGACAAGCCAACACUUGACACUUGUAGAUUGUGUGACUGUUUAAUAUAUACUUUUUUGUUUUUAGCAUGAGCUGUAUAUUACAAACUUAGAAGUGGGGAUGGGGGAGGGGGCGUUUAUGGUGUAAAAGUAUGUUGACCUGUGGUGAGCUGUUUAUCCGAGGUGGAGGUACAGCGUCUCUUGUCAGAGCAGGUAAUAUCCAGGGCCUGGGAUCCAGAAUGGUGGACGGUCUAGUUCUAGCAAGCUGUGGGGUUGCUCUACAGAAUGGGCACUUUCCGACCCUAGACACUAACUAGUCCAUGCCCAACCAUGGAAAAAGCGAAGAAGGCAAGUGGAAAUCAACUUCCACAGGAGGAAAGCAUUCCCUGGUGAUAGCACCGGAUUCCUGAAUACUUAUGGAGAACAUGCAGUUAGGAUUACGGUGAAGUGAACUGAAGAGCUACAAAAGCUGGGAUGUGGCCAUCUUUUUAUCCCACUGCACCUUCUAAGGCAGAACCACUGUGUAGAGCCUUGUGGGACUGAAAUAUUCCAGAAAAAAAAAUCUCGCUGUGGAAGGUUGGAGUUUCACAAUCAUCUUCUGCCAAACAUAAGAAGCCAGAGUUCAAGACGCUUCCAGGACCUACGCCUGCCAGCUUGACAUCUGUAGGGAGGAAACAGUGAGACUCAUAUUUAAGGGCGACUUUUUGCCACGCCUCCUGGCUACUGAGACUAGUUUCCUGGUUUUCCCUAGCAUUUCCGGUAUGCCUAGGCAAGACUUGUGUGUCAAUCUUUCCUGCUGGAGGCUCUGCUCUCCCACCCUGCCCUGCGCUGAAUGGGUGGGGCAUCCUGAAGCGCUGGGGGAGGGGUCCAGCGCACUACGCACGCGCAAGGCCUUGCUUGUAUGGAGAGUCCAGCGGCGGAGCCCUCGGGAUACAGCUCCUCCUAGCUGUGGGAAGGGCACAGUAAUGACCGAGACUUCUGUAAUCCUGCUUUUGUGUCCCUUGCGCAAAGGACUGCGUUUCCCAGGAAUAGAAUGAGGUUAAUUUGAUCCCUACCUUAUGCAGCUAUUUGAUGACUGAAAAAAUUAGUUUGUCUUUAUGCUUAGCCUCGUUCAGGCACUUAUUAGUGCUAGUUUCUUUUCUCUCCAUGUACUGCCAGAAUCAACAACUAGCUCAAAGAGUCCACUUGUUCCCAAAAAUGCGGAUCGAAUGUCCAGAUAACUGCGCUGGCAGACUGUCUGUGAGGAGGUAGACAAGCGCCUAGAAGAAGUACAGUAAUGGCAGGAUUGCUGGGGUCGGGGGAACUCUGGGAGUGCCCCAAACUGUGCUUAAUCCACUCUCAGAUUGGCACAGAAGCCCUUCCAUGAAGGAUCAGGGAGUCUGUGAAGUUGGAAAAGGCCUGAGUGUGAGCGAUGCCUACCUAAAUGCUAGCGUGGACAGUGGAGGUUUAUCUUGGUUUGCUUGCUGGGUUUCGUUAAGACAGUGUCUCUUGCGUUGUAUCAGACGCAUGACAAUCCCAACUCAAAUGCUGGGACUGCGAACAGCAGCCACCCACCCUGCCUGACCAGUGUGUGUGUGUGUGUGUGUGUGUGUGUGUGUGUGUGUGUGUGUGUGUUUGGGUCUCCUUGCACAUGAGCAUGGCAAGCACUCUACCUGAAGCAGAAAGAGGGUACUGAGGAUCUUAGAGGGUCUGAUUUUAAGGAAGGCUUUUAGGAAGAUCUCCCUGGUUAGAUGUCAUAUCGAUAUGCAAGGUCUGAUCCAAUUGAAUACUACCUACUUUAUAAAAUCACAAAAACAUGACAGGAAUCUGGUAUUUUUAAAGUAAUAUGAUAUUUUCCCCCAUACUAAAUAAAACUGUGAGCCAUUAGUGUUGGCAUUCUGUCUAAGCUCCACCCCCACAGUUACCUGGCACCCUCUCUUUACCUUUUUAUAAACACAUCAAUUAUCAUACCACCUAAGGGUCACAUGACUUCCUCUAGCAUCUCAAAAAUGUGUCCCCAUCCACUCAGAAAAGUUUGAGGUGAAACUAUAUAGUUCUAAAUUCUCAGAUACUAAGGAGAUAGUCAGUUUUUCCCUAUAUCAAGGACUGAGUUCGGCUUUAAUGGCUUCUCUAUAAAUUUAAGAUGUUAAAUCCAAAAGCAAACCUUAGUGUCAGCAUAAACAAAAAUCUUUAUGCUUUCUUCUUUCAACUGCCCCACUUGUAGAAUUGUUUCUUGCUCACUUCAGCUUGUCCUGUUCCUAGGCUCAGGAAGCUCGGAAACGGUGGAAAGUGUCAUCAGAUUUGCAGAAGGAAGCCACUGCAGGCCUGGGCUUGCAGGUUGGCUUGGGGGAUUAAAAGCCCUAAGUGCACUAGUAGGGUCACGACUCUCUCUCUCUCUGUGGCAUUCUGUUAGGUGGUAAGUUAAGCAUGCUCUUCUUUCUUUUCUUUUUUUAAAUCUUUAAAAAAGAUUUAUUUAUUGUAUGUGUGAGAGUGCACUGUAGCUGUCUUCAGACACCAGGAGAGGGCAUCAGAUCUCAUUACAGAGGGUUGUGAGUCACCAUGUGGUUGCUGAGAAUUGAACUCAAGACCUCUGGAAGAGCAGUAGUCAGUGCUCUUAACCCCCGAGCCAUCUCUCCAGCCCCCAUGCUCUUAUUUCAACGAUGUCCCCAACACAAUGCUUUUGAAACAGCAGUUUGCAGGAUUAGCUAAUAACUAAUACUCUCGUUCCCGUUUAAAUCCACUGAUCAAUGAUUGCAGGUGUGCACACUGAAACUGAAACUCAGAUUUGGCUAAACUAGCUGACCAAUGAGCACUGGGAUCCGCCUGUGUCCCCGCCCCCUCAGCGCUGGAGUUUUAGAUACAUGCCAUUAAGCCUAACUUUUUGACUCAUGUGCUCAUGCUGUUGUGCCUAAGCCAUCUUCCUGGCAUACUUUGCUGGGUUUCUCAGCACCUUUUGCUGUGGAAUGAGUGGGGAAAAUAUAAUAAUUUUGCUAAUUUAUUCUCAUAAACGAUAAAGUUUUCAUAAGCUCACUUAUGCUAACUGAAUAUGCAGCCGAUGUGCCAGGCAUUGAAAUGAAUGUUUUUCAAAGAGUGGGGUAGUGGCCAGAAUCAGUUUUAACCUUAGCCCAGUUGUCAAAGGCAAGAACUUGGCAACCGUCUAACACUUUUGGAAAUCACUUGGCUAAGUCUUUUUUUUUUUUUAAGACUUAUUUACUUAAUAUACGUGAGUACACAAUCGCUGUCCUCAGACACACUAGAAGAGAGCAUCAGAUCCCAUUACAGAUGUUUGUGAACCACCAUGUGAUUGCUGGGAAUUGAACUCGGGACCUCAGGAAGAGCAGUCAGUGCUCUAAGCCCUUGGCUGGUCUUGAUAAAGACUUGAUAGACAGGAAAGACCAGCAGCCGCUCUAGAUUCCCACCAUGAAAGUCAGCAAACUAAGCAUUGUUCACACUUGCCCACGCCCUGGAUAAGAUCAGCCCUCUGUUUUGCUCAUGGAUACCACACAGCUUGCAAUCUUCCUUUUAAAGAAAUUUUUAUGUGAAGAUAUGAUUUAAGAAGGUGUACCUGCCCUUCCAAAGUCUCCAUUAUCUUCCAAUUAGGACACAAAUGAAUCAGCUUAACAAUGAGUUCAUCCAUUGAUGAGGUUAGAGUCCUCAUGACCAAAUCACCACCCUGAGCAUUGCUGGAUCAGGCACCAAGAGUCCAACACAUGAGAUCCCUUGGGGACAAUUCAGAUUCAAACUAUGGCAUUGACUCCCAAGAUAUGGAGACUGAGAAUCACAUAUGAACUUCAUAAUGCCAUUCAGAUUCAAAGAUACGUGUAAAUUGUGGAGAAAGUUGUCUUUAAGAUUGUAUACAUACGCUGGAGAGAUGGCUCAGCGGUUAAGAGCACCCGACUGCUCUUCCAGAGGUCAUGAGUUCAAUUCCCAGCAACCACAUGGUGGCUCACAACCAUCUGUAAAGAGAUCUGAUGCCCUCUUCUGGUGUAUCUGAGGACAGCUACAGUGUACUUAUAUAUAAUAAAUGAAUAAAUAAGAUUGUAUACAUACACGCACCGUGUGCAAGCUUGACCCUCUGGAACUCCAGAUACAAACACUACCUCAUGGUGUGGGGAUUUCGAAUCAGACAAGGUCCUCCGCAAGAGCAGCAGGCACUUCUAGUGGCUGACUCACUGCUCCAGUCUCAGAACUGAGUAGAUUUAAGGACUACUCUGAAACAGACAUGGAGGGAGACAGAGUAGUUUCAGAAUGAGGUAGUUGCAGACUGACCUCCUCCAAUGGAGUCUCACCUCCAGUGUCCGUGUCUGUGCCUUUCUAUACACUAAACAGGACUGACCUAUGUGACCCAUGCGAUACUUCAGAACUGACGUGGCUCCCUGGAGGCAGAGAAUGUGACUUCUGUCCCACCCUCCAUUGCUGUACUAUGAGAUAUACACAUCAAACAUGUCUUCCCCAACUCCAUCAGUUCUUUGUGCCACAUGCCGGGAGCCAAGCCCACGUACACACCCUCUGUCUCAAGAAUGUUUCAGGAAUGUCAAGCCCUCUUACGCCCUCUGAGACACCUACCCAGUUAUCUGUUCUUAUCAAUAUACCUGCAAUGUAUGGUUUUAGGGCUUUAGGGAGGGUGGUGACGGUAGUGAAAUUGACCCUGGGCCCUGCGUGGCCUUCCCGCCUGCUUGUCUUUAUAAACCACUGUAUCAAAAUAAAAUUUGAGAGCUUGAUCAGACCAUAGACUUGCUCUCCUUCUUGCCUCCUGUCCCCCAUCCCUUCCCCCCCCCACGUCUCCUCUGAACUCCAGCAGGCCGAGGCACCAUACUUCCCUGCUGAUGACAUCAUGUCUGCUCUCAAACCUAACCUACACAUGUAUGUAUGAUUUUAUGUGACAGCAUAUGAUCUAGGAACCACAAAUUUUAAGAUAGCAUUCUUCCUGAGACUGGUGUGAUGAUCUUAAUCUGUUGUCUCUCCAUCCUUUUGUUAAUCUUUAAAUUGUCCUCUACCCUGAUGGCUAGGAGCUCAGUUUUGGCUGUGAUCCAAGUUUUAUGUUUUUUUUUUCUUAAAGGUUUUAUUUUUAUUACAUUGUAUCUUUUCAUUUUGUGCACAUGUCUGUGUAGGGGCACAUAUGUCAUGGCAUGCAUGUGGAGGUCAGAGGACAACUUGAGGAAGUCAGUUCUUUCCUUCCACCAUGUGGGUUCCUUCCAAGGACUGAGCUCUGGUCGUCCAGCCGGGUAGCAAGCAUCCUCUGACUCUCUCACUGACCCACAACUCACUUUUAAGACCUGGUUCUCGGGGCUGGAGAGAUGGCUCAGAGGUUAAGAGCACUGACUGCUCUUCCAGGGGUCCUGAGUUCAAAUCUCAGCAACCACAUGGUGGCUCACAACCAUCUGUAAUGAGAUCUGAUGCCCUCUUCUGGCGUGUCUGAAGACAGCUACAAUGUACUCAUAUAAAUAAAAUAAAAUAAAUCUUAAAAAAAAAAAAAAA
Non-coding RNA from Rattus norvegicus (Norway rat), 11213 nucleotides. NCBI's taxonomy places the organism in Eukaryota, Metazoa, Chordata, Mammalia, Rodentia, Muridae. The record is from RefSeq and is a predicted model, not a curated record.